GGCUGGUCCAAAGGUAGUCAGUUAUCUCACUUGAUGGUUCAGAGCCAGUUACAGAUUGAACUCCUUAUUCUGCUCUUUCCUCACAUCUCACUACUGUACUUGACUAGACUGAA
Unclassified non-coding RNA from Otolemur garnettii (small-eared galago), 113 nucleotides. It matches the Rfam family "Y RNA". Rfam says of the family: Y RNAs are components of the Ro ribonucleoprotein particle (Ro RNP), in association with Ro60 and La proteins. The Y RNAs and Ro60 and La proteins are well conserved, but the function of the Ro RNP is not known. In humans the RNA component can be one of four small RNAs -- hY1, hY3, hY4 and hY5. The record is from Ensembl. NCBI's taxonomy places the organism in Eukaryota, Metazoa, Chordata, Mammalia, Primates, Galagidae.